GGGUCGGUGGUCUAGAGGUAGGAUCCCGCUCUUACGAGGCGGGGGCCCUGGUUCGAAUCCAGGCCGACCCACCA
Molecule: transfer RNA, 74 nt
Filed under: Candidatus Bathyarchaeota archaeon
Lineage: Archaea; Thermoproteati; Candidatus Bathyarchaeota
Also listed under: 1 other name
Description: tRNA-Val
Rfam family: tRNA
About the family: Transfer RNA (tRNA) molecules are approximately 80 nucleotides in length. Their secondary structure includes four short double-helical elements and three loops (D, anti-codon, and T loops).
Source: RNAcentral